CAGCAGCCACGGUAAUACGUAGGUCCCGAGCGUCGUCCGGAUUUAUUGGGCGUAAAGCGAGCGCAGGCGGUUAGAUAAGUCUGAAGUUAAAGGCUGUGGCUUAACCAUAGUACGCUUUGGAAACUGUUUAACUUGAGUGCAAGAGGGGAGAGUGGAAUUCCAUGUGUAGCGGUGAAAUGCGUAGAUAUAUGGAGGAACACCGGUGGCGAAAGCGGCUCUCUGGCUUGUAACUGACGCUGAGGCUCGAAAGCGUGGGGAGCAAACAGGAUUAGAGACCCGAGUAGUCCCUGUCUCUUAUACA
Molecule: ribosomal RNA, 301 nt
Filed under: uncultured bacterium
Lineage: Bacteria
Description: partial 16S ribosomal RNA
Rfam family: Bacterial small subunit ribosomal RNA
Source: RNAcentral